RNAcentral lists this ribosomal RNA (402 nucleotides) under uncultured prokaryote. RNAcentral describes it as "bacterial SSU rRNA". It matches the Rfam family "Bacterial small subunit ribosomal RNA", at positions 355 to 774 of the family's 1533-position model. The record is from RNAcentral.
UGGGGAAUAUUGGACAAUGGGCGAAAGCCUGAUCCAGCCAUGCCGCGUGAGUGAUGAAGGCCCUAGGGUUGUAAAGCUCUUUCGGCGGGGACGAUAAUGACGGUACCCGCAGAAGAAGCCCCGGCUAACUUCGUGCCAGCAGCCGCGGUAAUACGAAGGGGGCAAGCGUUGCUCGGAAUCACUGGGCGGAAAGGGCGCGUAGGCGGACAUUUAAGUCAGGGGUGAAAUCCCGGGGCUCAACCUCGGAAUUGCCUUUGAUACUGGAUGUCUCGAGACCGGAAGAGGUAAGUGGAACUGCGAGUGUAGAGGUGAAAUUCGUAGAUAUUCGCAAGAACACCAGUGGCGAAGGCGGCUUACUGGUCCGGUUCUGACGCUGAGGCGCGAAAGCGUGGGGAGCAAACA